This 393-nucleotide ribosomal RNA is filed under the name uncultured bacterium. RNAcentral's name for it is "partial 16S ribosomal RNA". It matches the Rfam family "Bacterial small subunit ribosomal RNA", at positions 523 to 918 of the family's 1533-position model. The record is from RNAcentral.
AUACGGAGGAUGCGAGCGUUAUCCGGAUUUAUUGGGUUUAAAGGGAGCGUAGGUGGGAUAUUAAGUCAGCUGUGAAAGUUUGGGGCUCAACCUUAAAAUUGCAGUUGAUACUGGUUUCCUUGAGUACGGUACAGGUGGGCGGAAUUCGUGGUGUAGCGGUGAAAUGCUUAGAUAUCACGAAGAACUCCGAUCGCGAAGGCAGCUCACCGGGCCGGAACUGACACUGAUGCUCGAAAGUGCGGGUAUCAAACAGGAUUAGAUACCCUGGUAGUCCGCACAGUAAACGAUGAAUACUCGCUGUUUGCGAUACACUGUAAGCGGCCAAGCGAAAGCGUUAAGUAUUCCACCUGGGGAGUACGCCGGCAACGGCGAAACUCAAAUGAAUUGGCGGGG